Molecule: ribosomal RNA, 540 nt
Filed under: Aureobasidium iranianum
Lineage: Eukaryota; Fungi; Ascomycota; Dothideomycetes; Dothideales; Saccotheciaceae
Description: partial large subunit ribosomal RNA
Rfam family: Eukaryotic large subunit ribosomal RNA
Source: RNAcentral
CGGCAACAGCUCAAAUUUGAAAGCUGGCCUUCGGGUCCGCAUUGUAAUUUGUAGAGGAUGCUUUGGGGCAGCCGCCUGUCUAAGUUCCUUGGAACAGGACGUCAUAGAGGGUGAGAAUCCCGUAUGUGACAGGACAUGGCACCCUAUGUAAAGCUCCUUCGACGAGUCGAGUUGUUUGGGAAUGCAGCUCUAAAUGGGAGGUAAAUUUCUUCUAAAGCUAAAUACCGGCGAGAGACCGAUAGCGCACAAGUAGAGUGAUCGAAAGAUGAAAAGCACUUUGGAAAGAGAGUUAAAAAGCACGUGAAAUUGUUGAAAGGGAAGCGCUUGCAAUCAGACUUGUUUAAACUGUUCGGCCGGUCUUCUGACCGGUUUACUCAGUUUGGACAGGCCAGCAUCAGUUUCGGCGGCCGGAUAAAGGCCCUAGGAAUGUGACCCCCUCUUCGGAGGGGGUGUUAUAGCCUGGGGUGUAAUACGGCCAGCCGGGACUGAGGUCCGCGCUUCGGCUAGGAUGCUGGCGUAAUGGUUGUAAGCGACCCGUCU